AUCCUUUGGUCAUUUUGUAACAGCGGAAUAACUUUGGCCGCAACAGAAAAAGAUGAAGGUUAUAACUUCACAAUAAAAUUUCCCUGAGGUGGACAAGAAGGUAAUUAAUGCUGGAGGUUCUGGAGUGCAGUGUAGUUCCGACAGAAUUCCAUUCGGUUUCAGUUCUCACAAACUAGUCGUCAUAGGAUAAUAAUGAAGUGGAAACAAGUCUAGCAGCGACACUACAUUCAUAAAGAUUCGCCUUGCGCUACCAGAUGCUAUGCGCGCAAAGGCAAGAACGGUU
Stylophora pistillata is the source of this 283-nucleotide long non-coding RNA. RefSeq lists it as uncharacterized. NCBI's taxonomy places the organism in Eukaryota, Metazoa, Cnidaria, Anthozoa, Scleractinia, Pocilloporidae. The record is from RefSeq and is a predicted model, not a curated record.